Molecule: ribosomal RNA, 252 nt
Filed under: uncultured Eubacteriales bacterium
Lineage: Bacteria; Bacillati; Bacillota; Clostridia; Eubacteriales
Description: uncultured Clostridiales bacterium partial 16S ribosomal RNA
Rfam family: Bacterial small subunit ribosomal RNA
Source: RNAcentral
UACGUAGGGGGCAAGCGUUAUCCGGAAUUAUUGGGCGUAAAGAGUGCGUAGGUGGUUACCUAAGCAGGGGGUGAAAGGCACUGGCUUAACCAAUGUCAGCCCCCUGAACUGGGCUACUUGAGUGCAGGAGAGGAAAGUGGAAUUCCUAGUGUAGCGGUGAAAUGCGUAGAUAUUAGGAGGAACACCAGUGGCGAAGGCGACUUUCUGGACUGUUACUGACACUGAGGCACGAAAGUGUGGGGAGCAAACAGG